CCUACGGGUGGCUGCAGUCGAGGAUCUUCGGCAAUGAGCGCAAGCUUGACCGAGCGACGCCGCGUGUGCGAUGAAGGCCUUCGGGUUGUAAAGCACUGUCGAGGGGGAGAUCUAUCCCUGGAGGAAGCACGGGCUAAGUUCGUGCCAGCAGCCGCGGUAAGACGAACCGUGCGAACGUUGUUCGGAAUCACUGGGCUUAAAGGGCGCGUAGGCGGGCUGCCAAGUCUGUGGUGAAAUCCUCCAGCUUAACUGGAGAACGGCCGUGGAUACUGGCGGUCUCGAGGGAGAUAGGGGCAAGCGGAACUGUGCGUGGAGCGGUGAAAUGCGUUGAUAUGCACAGGAACUCCGGUGGCGAAGGCGGCUUGCUGGUCCUUCUGACGCUGAGGCGCGAAAGCUAGGGGAGCGAACGGGAUUAGAUACCCUUGUAGUC
This 430-nucleotide ribosomal RNA is filed under the name uncultured bacterium. RNAcentral describes it as "partial 16S ribosomal RNA". It matches the Rfam family "Bacterial small subunit ribosomal RNA", at positions 338 to 795 of the family's 1533-position model. The record is from RNAcentral.